UUUCGCCCUAUCUUACACCGGAACCUCUUGAUUCAGUGCAGUGUUCUGGCACUAUAAGGGGACAGAGUCCUACGCUCUCUUCCCUCCCUACUGGAUGUUGUUCCUCCAAGGGCCUUAAAGAAGCACACAGU
Molecule: small nucleolar RNA, 131 nt
Filed under: Hucho hucho (huchen)
Lineage: Eukaryota; Metazoa; Chordata; Actinopteri; Salmoniformes; Salmonidae
Description: Small nucleolar RNA SNORA49 (ENSHHUG00000013642.1)
Rfam family: Small nucleolar RNA SNORA49
About the family: The snoRNA ACA49 has no identified RNA target. NB genomic sequence 1-nt different from published.
Source: Rfam by way of RNAcentral